RNAcentral lists this ribosomal RNA (403 nucleotides) under uncultured bacterium. Its description in RNAcentral is "partial 16S ribosomal RNA". It matches the Rfam family "Bacterial small subunit ribosomal RNA", at positions 28 to 526 of the family's 1533-position model. The record is from RNAcentral.
GACGAACGCUGGCGGCGUGCCUAAUACAUGCAAGUCGAACGCAGUGGGGCCGGGUGAGUAACACGUGGGUAACAUCCCAGCAGAGGGGAUAACACUUGGAAACAGGUGCUAAACCGAUACUGAUGGAUGGACCCGCGGGGCAUUAGCUAGGUGGUGGGGUAACGGCUCACCAAGUCAACGAUGCAUAGCCGACCUGAGAGGGGGAUCGGCCACACUGGGACUGAGACACGGCCCAGACUCCUACGGGAGGCAGCAGUAGGGAAUCUUCGGCAAUGGGCGAAAGUCUGACCGAGCAACGCCGCGUGAGUGAUGAAGGUUUUCGGAUCGUAAAACUCUGUUGUUAGAGAAGCGGUAUCUACCCAGAAAGCCACGGCUAACUACGUGCCAGCAGCCGCGGUAAUUC